Molecule: long non-coding RNA, 142 nt
Organism: Procambarus clarkii (red swamp crayfish)
Lineage: Eukaryota; Metazoa; Arthropoda; Malacostraca; Decapoda; Cambaridae
Source: RefSeq, a predicted model, not a curated record
AGGUGGACUGAGUGCUGGUGCAGUUUACAGCUGGAUUAGUGUGCGGCUGCAUUCAAGGGAGGAAGUGCCAGGAAAAAAAAGAUGCUGCUAUUGAAGUUUUAUAAGUUGGUGUUUCUAAAAGGAAAAUAAAUGAAAGCAUCAU